CUUUUUUUUUCUUAAUUGACAUUCAGAUCACUGUAAGACACUGGAAAGGUGGUAAUAGCAGAUGGUCAGUGGGCGACGUGUGACGGGAAUCUGAAAAACUUUUGCCACUCCACUGAAGGAUAAGGGCAGAGCAAUGAUCAGCAAGGUGUAAGGCAACUGGAUAUUGUCACAAAAAUCCUCCACAGAGAAAACACAAAAGGACGCCACCUGCACUCUGCUAGCAAUCUAUGCUGAACUAGCAGGUGUUUCUCCUAAGGACCACGGAGCAGCUGACCCCCUCCAGGUAGCUCAUAAGAGAGGAGAGGAGAGCAGACCAGACCACACCACCUCCACGUGGGAAAGCAAGCAGGAGUGCAGCAGCUUUAGGUGAUAACAGACUUCCCUUCUAGCCCUGAAUUGAGCUAUAUCUGCUCUGCUCACAUGCCAGUUCUCCUGGCAAGUCUGAAAUAUGGGAGUUAUAGACCCACAUUUCAAUGCCUGCCCAGCAGACAUCAUGGAGGACAUGUGCACUUUCAGGAUGGAGAUCUCCUUGCUGGUAUCUCUGAAGGCAGAUCUGUGGAAGCAACUUCCAAGUAAAAUGAAAGACUGUAGAAGACCAACACUGGAAGCUUUUUUGUUUUAUCCCAUGUAACUGUUUUCUUCAUGACAAUGCAAUGUCUGUGUCAAGGCUAUAAAAUAAAAUACCUCUUUUCCAGAAAUGAAUAAAUCAGAGUUGUCAGCCAAGCCUGCAGGUCUCCCAUAGUCAAUAAGUGCACUUGCAAGUCUGAAAAGGAGAUGAAUCUUUCUGGGACAGUCUACAAAACAGUGAAACAUGUUCCCCUGCAAGCUAGAGAUUGUGGUAGCUUUCAAAAAAACAAAUCCCAAGAACAAGUUGCAUAUCAUCCAAACUAUAGCAGCAACAUAGU
Manacus vitellinus (golden-collared manakin) is the source of this 905-nucleotide long non-coding RNA. RefSeq lists it as uncharacterized. The transcript is spliced from 4 exons. NCBI's taxonomy places the organism in Eukaryota, Metazoa, Chordata, Aves, Passeriformes, Pipridae. The record is from RefSeq and is a predicted model, not a curated record.